RNAcentral lists this ribosomal RNA (101 nucleotides) under Anaerolineales bacterium. RNAcentral describes it as "partial 16S ribosomal RNA". It matches the Rfam family "Bacterial small subunit ribosomal RNA", at positions 1 to 100 of the family's 1533-position model. Lineage: Bacteria; Bacillati; Chloroflexota; Anaerolineae; Anaerolineales. The record is from RNAcentral.
UAUACGGAGAGUUUGAUCCUGGCUCAGGAUGAACGCUAGCGGUGUGCCUAAUGCAUGCAAGUCGAACGGGAACCUUGGAUUCGUCUGAGGUGAGAGUGGCG